GGCCGGGCCCCGCUUCCUCGCUGGGGGCGCGGGGAUGCAGUCGCCUCCGCGCGCCCCGACGCCCCGGCGGCUGGGGGACCCGGAGGGCUGGCGUGCACGGCCCGCAUGGGGAAGGUAGACACGCCGAAGCGGUUAUGCGCACCGAGUCAGGCACUGACUGCCCAGGUGCGUGCUGCGACCCAGGGACAGGUAGAGCCAGCUGAAGGGAUGCCAGUAAUGAUAAUAAAACCUCCACGUUUCCGCCACCCAACUUAGAAAACAGACCCGUGCCAGUCCUUUUGAGGCCCACCGCAGCCUGCACCACGACCUCCUCCAGAAGAACCACUUUCCUGGAUUUUGUUCUAAUGAUGCUAAUCAGCUCCUCGAUUUUCUGUUAGUUUUACACCUUUGUAUGAAUCCCUAAUAUAUCGUUUAGUUUUGAUUUUUUUUAACGGUGCAAAUGGAAUCACUCUCUAAUUAUGUGACUUCCUUUCUUCACACAGCAUUAUGUUUUUUUAAAAAUCCAUUUCUAUUGCCUGUGUACCUAUAACUUAUUUCACUAUUGAAUAGCAUUCCAUUUUAGGAGUCUACUACUAGCUAUUUAUCCGUUCCCCUGCUAUUGCAUGUUAUUUCUAGGAUUUUUUUAUUUUUUGCUAUUACAAAGCCGGGGCAUUAAAUAUUCUUGUAAAUAUCUUAAUGUUAAUUGUAGAGUUGAGAAACUGACGCUGAGAUUCAGGAAGGUGAGGUCUCUUGCCCAGGGUCCCGGCGCUGGUAGAGCUGGAAUUCACACCUUCCUCAGGGUGUCCCUCUCCACAUCUACAUCUGCUUCUUCCGGGAGGCCACCGAAGUCCCCAGGGAGGAGGGAGCAUGUAUUUCUAGUCGGUCUCAAAGCUGUUCCUGUGAGCUUGCCCAACCCCACCUAGCCAAGUCCCUGCUUUGUUGCUUGGUCACCAUUAAAGACCCCAAAGGGUUCCCUCUUCUGUAGCCCCCAGGCACAGCAACCCCAGGGGCUGGCCACCGAGGAGAGGGGAAAACAAGCCCCCUCCCUGUGCC
RNAcentral lists this long non-coding RNA (1032 nucleotides) under Equus caballus (horse). Its description in RNAcentral is "lncRNA (ENSECAG00000045792.1)". The record is from RNAcentral. Lineage: Eukaryota; Metazoa; Chordata; Mammalia; Perissodactyla; Equidae.